CGGCAGGUAGCCUAGUGGUUAGAGCGUAGAAGCGGCAGGUAGCCUAGUGGUUAGAGUGUAGAGGAGGCAGGUAGCCUAGUGGUUAGAGUAUAGAGGAGGUAGGUAGUCUAGUGGUUAGAGUGUAGAGGAGGCAGGUAGCCUAGUGGUUAGAGUGUAUAGGAGGCAGGUAGCCUAGUGGUUAGAGUGUAGAGGAGGCAGGUAGUCCAGUGGUUAGAGUGUAGAGAAGGCAGGUAGUCCAGUGGUUAGAGUGUAUAGGAGGCAGGUAGCCUAGUGGUUAGAGUGUAGAGGAGGCAGGUAGUCUAGUGGUUAGAGUGUGGAGGAGGCAGGUAGUCUAGUGGUUAGAGUGUAGAGGAGGCAGGUAGCCUAGUGGUUAGAGUGUAGAGGAGGCAGGUAGUCUAGUGGUUAGAGUGUAGAGGAGGCAGGUAGUCUAGUGGUUAGAGUGUAGAGGAGGCAGGUAGCCUAGUGGUUAGAGUGUAGAGGAGGCAGGUAGCAUAGUGGUUAGAGUGUAGAGGAGGCAGGUAGCCUAGUGGUUAGAGUGUAGAGGAGGUAGGUAGUCUAGUGGUUAGAGUGUAGGGGAGGCAGGUAGUCUAGUGGUUAGAGGUGGCAUGUAGUCUAGUGGUUAGAGUGUAGAGGAGGCAGGUAGUCUAGUGGUUAGAGUGUAGGGGUGGCAGGUAGUCUAGUGGUUAGAGUGUAGAGGAGACAGGUAGCCUAGUGGUUAGAGGAGGCAGGUAGCCUAGUGGUUAGAGUGUAGAGGAGGCAGGUAGCCUAGUGGUUAGAGGAGGCAGGUAGCCUAGUGGUUAGAGGAGGCAGGUAGCCUAGUGGUUAGAGGUGGCAGGUAGUCUAGUGGUUAGAGUGUGGAGGAGGCAGGUAGUCUAGUGGUUAGAGUGUAGAGGAGGCAGGUAGCCUAGUGUUUAGAGGAGGCAGGUAGCCUAGUGGUUAGUGUAGAGGAGGCAGGUAGUCUAGUGGUUAGAGUGUAGAGGAGGCAGGUAGCCUAGUGGUUAGAGUGUAGAGGAGGCAGGUAGUCUAGUGGUUAGAGUGUAGAGGAGGCAGGUGGCCUAGUGGUUAGAGGAGGCAGGCAGCCUAGUGGUUAGAGUGUAGAGGAGGCAGGUAGCCUAGUGGUUAGAGGAGGCAGGUAGCCUAGUGGUUAGAGUGUAGAGGAGGCAGGUAGCCUAGUGGUUAGAGGAUUGGGCCAAU
RNAcentral lists this long non-coding RNA (1194 nucleotides) under Oncorhynchus kisutch (coho salmon). RNAcentral describes it as "lncRNA (ENSOKIG00005035512.1)". The record is from RNAcentral. Lineage: Eukaryota; Metazoa; Chordata; Actinopteri; Salmoniformes; Salmonidae.